CAUUCUUGUUGAGGCAGAGAACUGACUUGAGCGUCGGAGGGUCUUGCCGGAGCAACCCCACCUCCGGUUUAGACUUUCCUUGCAGGUCCCGAUGGCGACCGCGGCUUCCUCGACUCCAGCUUCUCCGGUGCCAGCAGAUUUUUGUACCAAUAGCGCUAGAGGAAGGGCUUGUGUCUUCAUAGUACCCUUGUUCUUAAAGGAGCGCUCAACGGGACCACCUCCGAUCAUCUUUUUCGACAUCCACUCCUCCUUCCCCCACUAGGUCUUUGCCCGAUGCCUCCCCGCAAAGCAUCCACGCGACGAUCCACGGCCUCCACA
This 318-nucleotide long non-coding RNA is filed under the name Elaeis guineensis (African oil palm). RNAcentral's name for it is "long non-coding RNA (EGUI_LNC061940)". Lineage: Eukaryota; Viridiplantae; Streptophyta; Magnoliopsida; Arecales; Arecaceae. The record is from RNAcentral.